AAAUAGUUGUCUUUGUCAAGAAUACAUAGUGUUGAGUUUUUGUCUGCUUUACGUAUUAUAAUGUUAUUAUUUUUCUUUAGAUUCCGAAUAGCCGACAAUUCCUCGGCAGAUAUAUUUCUGAUGUGUUUGUUUAUUUUCAUUCUACUAAGUUCUAUUUUUGUUGAGAAUAUGUAAUUUUCAAUUGCUGGACAAGAAUCCAGUGGUUUAUAUCCCGAAUUUAUGUAAAAAGGGUGUCUCUUGUAAAUUCUACCAUCAUUAUAGAGAUAUCGACAUCUAAGUUUUCUUGAGAAUUCGUCAAAGUCCUUCAUAAAGUUUCGUAUGGCAUUUUUGUUCGAAGGGUUAAUUAUGAACUUUACACCUUUUGCAAGUAAUAAGGUUUC
RNAcentral lists this long non-coding RNA (380 nucleotides) under Mytilus galloprovincialis (Mediterranean mussel). Lineage: Eukaryota; Metazoa; Mollusca; Bivalvia; Mytilida; Mytilidae. The record is from RNAcentral.